RNAcentral lists this ribosomal RNA (351 nucleotides) under uncultured bacterium. Its description in RNAcentral is "bacterial SSU rRNA". It matches the Rfam family "Bacterial small subunit ribosomal RNA", at positions 774 to 1121 of the family's 1533-position model. The record is from RNAcentral.
AGAUAAUAGAUACCCUGGUAGUCCUGGCCCUCAACGUUGCUCGCUCGUUUUACGGAGUAUCGACCCUCUGUGAGACUAAAGCUAACGCGGUAAGCGAGCCGCCUGGGUAGUACGAUCGCAAGAUUAAAACUCAAAGGAAUAGACGGGGACUCGCACAAGCAGUGGAUUAUGCGGCUUAAUUCGUCGGUAAACGAAGAACCUUACCAAGGUUAGAAACCCAACUGCAUCCGACCUGAAAGGGACGGAGCCUUCGAGGGUGUUGGGCAGGUGAUGCAUGGUCGUCGUCAGUUCGUGGUUUGAACUGUUCCCUUCAGUGGGGUAACGAACGCAACCCCCGUUGUCUGUUGUCAC